Molecule: long non-coding RNA, 811 nt
Organism: Engraulis encrasicolus (European anchovy)
Lineage: Eukaryota; Metazoa; Chordata; Actinopteri; Clupeiformes; Engraulidae
Exons: 3
Source: RefSeq, a predicted model, not a curated record
AAGAAGAAGAAGAAGUUGUGGCUCACUGUCCUGAAAGUGAAAUGCCUUCAAUGCAUCUUGAAAAGCAAGUGUCAACCCUCCCUCAAGCAAGUAUGAUGGAGAGGACGCGCGUUGUGCAAGUGAUUAAUGCAAAAAAAGACCAAUUAUUUCCCUCAGCGAUGCGCCCUUCUAUCCAUCUGGAAAAAGAAGCGUCAACCCUCCCUCAAGCAAGAAUGGAGGCGAAACGCAUUGGGCAAGUGAUUUCUACGAAAAAAGACCAAUUAUUGCCUUCAGCAGUGAGUGCGCGUAUCCUCGACAUCGUAAAGUGGAAACAAAGGAAACAAAUGUACAUUAGGAGUGUCACACAGCAAGUCCUAAACAAAAAGAAGUACGGUGCGCUGAGCGAGUUGAUGGAGCUGAUGAGCAGCGUCGCUGGUGAGCAGCAUCCAUGGCAGCACCCCACAGACCUCACAACCAGAAACUAUUGGUCAGGAAACCAUGGUGACCACCUUUAUUCCCUGGAAGAAUGGAAAAGAAAGAACGGAGGGGGUUAUAAACGGUUUUCUAGAUGACAAUGUCCUGGUGUUAUGUGUCUUUGCACUUAUUUGUAUGGUCUGUUUCAGUUUUUUUGCACCCAGUUUUGAUCUGUUGUGUUUUCUUUAAAACCUUUCCCCUAAAUGCAAUGUUUAGCUCAAGAAACACUGUUUUUUCAUGUUUGAGUGCAUAUUGUUGCCCCUUCUGCAUGUUUUGAAAUAUGUAUCCAUACAACUUAUCCAUACACUUUUUUCCCAACACUGUAAGUUUGUGUGUUGAGACAUGAAAUCAACCAAAA